ACACGCGUAGACAGGCAGAGAGACAGACGCGCGUGUAAAAAGGGCUAAGUGCUGCUAACUGCUAGCAGAAAUCCAGGACUCAAGGACACGUUCGGUCGGAAUUAGAGACGCAAGCAAGCAGCGACCAUGUCCGGAAUUGCUAUCACACGGCUCGGGGAGGAGCGAAAGGCCUGGAGGAAGGAUCACCCGUUCGGGUUCGUCGCCCGACCCGCCAAGAACCCCGACGGCACCCUCAACCUGAUGAUCUGGGAGUGCGCAAUUCCCGGCAAGAAGUCCACCCCCUGGGAGGGCGGCCUGUACAAGCUGCGUAUGAUCUUCAAGGACGACUACCCCACCUCGCCGCCCAAGUGCAAGUUCGAGCCACCGCUGUUUCACCCGAACGUCUAUCCCUCGGGCACCGUCUGCCUGUCGCUGCUGGACGAGGAGAAGGACUGGCGCCCCGCCAUCACCAUCAAGCAAAUCCUGCUGGGCAUCCAGGACCUGCUCAACGAGCCGAACAUCAAGGACCCGGCCCAGGCGGAGGCCUACACCAUCUACUGCCAGAACCGGCUGGAGUACGAGAAGCGGGUUCGCGCCCAGGCCCGCGCCAUGGCGGCCUCCGAGUAGUCGGGCUCCUGCCAGUCACCUUCCCCACAUAGACAUUAACAAAUACACACACAUCUAGCCGCUUGUACCAUCUGAAUAAAUCCUAAUAAGUCCUGUAAUUUUUUGAAGAGCCCCAAAGUGGCUACGUGGCACCCAGUAACCGAAGCUCAUUCUCAUCUUCGAUUCUGGGUGCAUAUCUGAUUAUUCUACGGUCUAUUUUGUAUCGCAAGUACUACGUACAAACACAUGUAAUUUCAAUAAAAAUGUAUUAGUUGUAAAA
RNAcentral lists this unclassified non-coding RNA (865 nucleotides) under Drosophila erecta. Its description in RNAcentral is "GG24645". The record is from RNAcentral. Lineage: Eukaryota; Metazoa; Arthropoda; Insecta; Diptera; Drosophilidae.